UCAAAUUCGAUCUUUGAGAUGUAGCAAAAGGUUUAUUUUACGAUUUAUUUUGAAACGGAUACGGGUUUUGGUAUCGCGUAUAAAACAGUCGUUGAAGCUGAUAGUGGCAUCAUUCGUUUUUGUCAUUUUCGAGUGAAUUCACAAUCUCUACCUGUAAUCCAACAUGUUCAAGCUGUUGUUAACCAUCCUCGCCGCCCUCGUGGCGUUCGCCGCCGCCAAGCCCUGGGGAGUGUCGUACGGGGCUCCCCUGGCGUACGCCUACGGCUCACCUCUGGCGUACUCUGCACCCGUGGCGUACGGCGCCUAUAGCUACGGUUCGCCCGUUGUCUCUGCCUAUAGUGGCUACACUCCGUACGCCGCUGCUCCUGUCACCUACGCCGCUAGCCCUUAUUCUUAUUACCUAAAACGCUAAAUAGGACCCGACACUUUUCUUCAUUAUGGAUGACUAACUGAGUCAACGAUUUACAAUAAAGUUAUGUUUUAAAACAACGGCGUUUAAUUUUGUCACUAAAUAUUAAGACGUGGCAGACUCGCAUUAUUUUUAAUGGUUUUGAAUUAUGUUACGUUUAAAUUUUGCCGCUAUGGCUCAAGGUGAGGAUAUACAUGAAGUUUUGACCACACAGUUAGUUCGUUAAUCUGUGCUGUGAUUAUACAUUCUUUUGUUUUCAGCCGAACCAUUCUGUGAGGCCUUGGUUCUAGUUUUGUUUUCAAUGGAUCGAUUCUUUUCAAGUAAUAACUACUCGUUCCUCCUCUACAACCGUACCUAAACAUGUAUAUAAGUAAGCACAUCUUCAUGGCUUUUACUGUAUUUGAAAUACGGCUGUUGUACAGCUGCCUGUGCUACUCAUUGUCAGAGGCGUCAUUUGGAAAUACAAAUAUGGCGAGAAUUCUAAUUCUUUUAGCAGUACUAGCGGCGGCAGUAGCCAAUCCACUCGUCUUCACUUCGCCAUACCUGGCCUCUCCAUUUGUAACACCAUACGCG
This is a long non-coding RNA of Cydia amplana, 982 nucleotides long. RefSeq lists it as uncharacterized. The transcript is spliced from 3 exons. The record is from RefSeq and is a predicted model, not a curated record. Lineage: Eukaryota; Metazoa; Arthropoda; Insecta; Lepidoptera; Tortricidae.